AUUGAACGCUGGCGGCAUGCCUUACACAUGCAAGUCGAACGGCAGCACGGGAGCAAUCCUGGUGGCGAGUGGCGAACGGGUGAGUAAUAUAUCGGAACGUGCCCAGUCGUGGGGAUAACGUAGCGAAAGCUACGCUAAUACCGCAUACGAUCUAUGGAUGAAAGCGGGGGAUCGCAAGACCUCGCGCGAUUGGAGCGGCCGAUAUCAGAUUAGGUAGUUGGUGAGGUAAAGGCUCACCAAGCCGACGAUCUGUAGCUGGUCUGAGAGGACGACCAGCCACACUGGGACUGAGACACGGCCCAGACUCCUACGGGAGGCAGCAGUGGGGAAUUUUGGGACAAUGGCGCAAGCCUGAUCCAGCAAUGCCGCGUGCAGGAUGAAGGCCUUCGGUU
Molecule: ribosomal RNA, 392 nt
Filed under: uncultured bacterium
Lineage: Bacteria
Description: bacterial SSU rRNA
Rfam family: Bacterial small subunit ribosomal RNA
Source: RNAcentral